This 253-nucleotide ribosomal RNA is filed under the name uncultured bacterium. Its description in RNAcentral is "partial 16S ribosomal RNA". It matches the Rfam family "Bacterial small subunit ribosomal RNA", at positions 524 to 776 of the family's 1533-position model. The record is from RNAcentral.
UACGUAGGGUGCGAGCGUUAAUCGGAAUUACUGGGCGUAAAGCGUGCGCAGGCGGCGCGUUAAGACAGGUGUGAAAGCCCCGAGCUUAACUUGGGAAUUGCGCUUGUGACUGGCGUGCUGGAGUGUGGCAGAGGGAGGUGGAAUUCCACGUGUAGCAGUGAAAUGCGUAGAGAUGUGGAGGAACACCGAUGGCGAAGGCAGCCUCCUGGGCCAGCACUGACGCUGGGGUGCGAAAGCAUGGGGAGCGAACAGG